CCUACGGGAGGCAGCAGUAGGGAAUAUUGCUCAAUGGGGGAAACCCUGAAGCAGCAACGCCGCGUGGAGGAUGAAGGUUUUCGGAUUGUAAACUCCUUUUGUUAGAGAAGAUAAUGACGGUAUCUAACGAAUAAGCACCGGCUGACUCCGUGCCAGCAGCCGCGGUAAUACGGAGGGUUCAAGCGUUACUCGGAAUCACUGGGCGUAAAGAGCGCGUAGGCGGGAUAGCAAGUCAGAUGUGAAAUCCUAUGGCUUAACCAUAGAACUGCAUUUGAAACUGUUAUUCUAGAGCGUGGGAGAGGUAGGUGGAAUGCUUGGUGUAGGGGUAAAAUCCGUAGAGAUCAAGAGGAAUACUCAUUGCGAAGGCGACCUGCUAGAACAUAUCUGACGCUGAUGCGCGAAAGCGUGGGGAGCAAACAGGAUUAGAUACCCGAGUAGUC
This 440-nucleotide ribosomal RNA is filed under the name uncultured bacterium. Its description in RNAcentral is "partial 16S ribosomal RNA". It matches the Rfam family "Bacterial small subunit ribosomal RNA", at positions 338 to 795 of the family's 1533-position model. The record is from RNAcentral.